This 235-nucleotide non-coding RNA is filed under the name Lactobacillus acidophilus. RNAcentral's name for it is "T-box sequence". It matches the Rfam family "T-box leader". From Rfam's summary of the family: Uncharged tRNA acts as the effector for transcription antitermination of genes in the T-box leader family. The record is from RNAcentral. Lineage: Bacteria; Bacillati; Bacillota; Bacilli; Lactobacillales; Lactobacillaceae.
UAAAAAAUCUUGAUGAACAGAGUAACUAAAAAUACUUUUUUCAGAGAAUUGCUGGUUGGUGUGAAGCAAGAAAAAGCUUUUAGUGAAAAUGGGUUCAAAAUGAUUGUACUGGUGAUAUUUAGCCAAUAACGGGGUUGCGCUCGUUAACAACGCAAACUAUUGUUAGAUAGUUCAAAGGUUAUUUGCGUGAGCAGAUAAUGAAUAAAGGUGGUAACACGAAGCACUCGUCCUUUUU